CCAAGUUUUCAACACCAUUAGUACUGAGUUCCCAGCACCCUAAGUAUUGAGUCCCUGUCUUAGUCAGGGUUUCUAUUCCUGCACAAACAUCAUGACCAAGAAGCAAGUUGGGAGGAAAGGGUUUAUUUGGCUUACACUUCCAUACUGCUGCUCAUCACCAGGGAAGUCAGGACUGGAACUCAAGCAGGUCAGGAAUCAGGAGCUGAUGCAGAGGCCAAGGAGGGAUGUUCUUUACUGACUUGCCUCCCCUGGCUUGCUCAGCCUGCUCUCUUAUAGAACCCAAGACUACCAGCCCAGAGAUGGUCCCACCCACAAGGGGCCUUUCCCCCUUGAUCACUAAUUGAGAAAAUACCCUACAGCUGGAUCUCAUGGAGGCAUUUCCCAACUAAAGCUCCUUUCUCUGUGAUAACUCCAGCUGUGUCAAAUUGACACACAAAACCAGCCAGUACAGUCCCCAAGCACCUAAGUACUGAGCAUGCAGCACCCAAAGCACUGAGCCCCCAGCACCAUAAAUACUGAGCCACAAGUACCCAAGUACUCAGUCCCAGCACCCUGAGUACUGAGUCUCAAGUAACCCAAGUACUAAGUGCUAAGCACCCUAUGUACUGUGUCCCCAGUAUCCUUAGUACAGAGUACCCAGCCCCUUUAGUACUGUGUUCCCAGCACCCAAAAUACUUAGUUCCCAGCACCCAGAGUACCUAGAUCCCAGGACCCUAAGCACUGAGCCACAAGCACCCCAAGUACUCAGCCCCUAGCACCCAACAUACUGAGAACCGAGCACCCUAAGUACUGAGCCACAAGCAAGCACCAAGUACUAAGUCCCUAGCACCCUAAGUACUGUGUCCCUAGCACCCAAAGGACUGAGUGAGCAGGACCCUAAAUACUGAUCCACAAUCACCCCAAGUACUAAGUCACCAGCACUCUAAGUACUGUGUCCCCAGCAACCCCAGUAAUGCAUCCCCAACAUCCUAAAUCCU
RNAcentral lists this long non-coding RNA (977 nucleotides) under Mus musculus (house mouse). RNAcentral's name for it is "long non-coding RNA chrX:82406967-82407944". Lineage: Eukaryota; Metazoa; Chordata; Mammalia; Rodentia; Muridae. The record is from RNAcentral.